This 341-nucleotide ribosomal RNA is filed under the name uncultured soil bacterium. Its description in RNAcentral is "bacterial SSU rRNA". It matches the Rfam family "Bacterial small subunit ribosomal RNA", at positions 26 to 355 of the family's 1533-position model. The record is from RNAcentral.
AGAUUGAACGCUGGCGGCAUGCUUUACACAUGCAAGUCGAACGGCAGGCACGGGAGCAAUCCUGGUGGCGAGUGGCGAACGGGUGAGUAAUAUAUCGGAACGUGCCCAGUCGUGGGGGAUAACGCAGUGAAAGCUGUGCUAAUACCGCAUACGAUACUAGUGGAUGAAAGCGGGGGACUCGCAAGAGCCUCGCGCGAUUGGAGCGGCCGAUAUCAGACUUAGCUAGGUUGGGUAGGGUAAAACGCCCAACCGAAGGCGACGAUCUGUAGCUGGUCUGAGAGGACGACCAGCCACACGUGGAACUGACGACGACGGUCCAGACUCGUACGGGAGCAGCAGGU